UAAUACGAGAGGUCCAAGCGUUAGUCGGAAUCACUGGGCUUAAAGGGUGCGUAGGCGGACCGGAAAGCGUCUUGUGAAAUCCCCUGGCUCAACCAGGGAAAUGCAGGGCGAACUCCCGGUCUCGAGGAAGCUAGAGGCCGGCGGAACGAUCGGUGGAGCGGUGGAAUGCGUAGAUAUCGAUCGGAACGCCAAAGGUGAAGACAGCCGGCUGGGGCUUUCCUGACGCUGAGGCACGAAAGCGUGGGUAGCAAACAGGAUUAGAUACCCUGGUAGUCCACGCCCUAAACGAUGCACAUUAGACUGGUGCGGCUCUGACGUCGUAUCGGUCGUAGAGAAAUUGAUAAAUGUGCCGCCUGGGGAGUACGGUCGCAAGGCUA
This 377-nucleotide ribosomal RNA is filed under the name uncultured bacterium. Its description in RNAcentral is "bacterial SSU rRNA". It matches the Rfam family "Bacterial small subunit ribosomal RNA", at positions 521 to 896 of the family's 1533-position model. The record is from RNAcentral.